GGUCCGCCAGAUUAUUACAAGUAAAAGCUUAAAACUCAAAGGACUUGACGGUGUCCCACACACAACCUAGAGGAGCCUGUCCUAUAACCGAUGAUCCACGAAAAACCUCACCACCUCUUGCCAAACAACCUAUAUACCGCCGUCGAAAGUUAACCUUGUGAGGGCAAAAAAGUGAACACAAUAGUUCAACACUAAUACGUCAGGUCAAGGUGUAGUUAAUAAGGUGGUCAGAGAUGGGCUACAUUUCCUUUUAAAGGAAAGACGAAUGGUAAAAUGAAAACUUCUCCAGAAGGAGGAUUUAGCAGUAA
RNAcentral lists this ribosomal RNA (308 nucleotides) under Amerotyphlops brongersmianus (Brongersma's worm snake). RNAcentral describes it as "partial 12S ribosomal RNA". It matches the Rfam family "Bacterial small subunit ribosomal RNA", at positions 866 to 1341 of the family's 1533-position model. Lineage: Eukaryota; Metazoa; Chordata; Lepidosauria; Squamata; Typhlopidae. The record is from RNAcentral.